UCCCUGCUGGUCCAGUGGUUAAGACUCUGCACUUCCAAUGCAGGAGUCCCAGGUUCAAUCCCUGGGCGGGGAA
Molecule: non-coding RNA, 73 nt
Organism: Balaenoptera musculus (blue whale)
Lineage: Eukaryota; Metazoa; Chordata; Mammalia; Artiodactyla; Balaenopteridae
Source: the annotation of a RefSeq genome assembly